GACGAACGCUGGCGGCGUGCUUAACACAUGCAAGUCGAACGGAAAGGCCCUGCUUUUGUUGGGUGCUCGAGUGGCGAACGGGUGAGUAACACGUGAGUAACCUGCCCUUGACUUUGGGAUAACUUCAGGAAACUGGGGCUACUACCGGAUAGGAGCUCCUGCUGCAUGGUGGGGGUUGGAAAGUUUCGGCGGUUGGGGAUGGACUCGCGGCUUAUCAGCUUGUUGGUGGGGUAGUGGCUUACCAAGGCUUUGACGGGUAGCCGGCCUGAGAGGGUGACCGGCCACAUUGGGACUGAGAUACGGCCCAGACUCCUACGGGAGGCAGCAGUGGGGAAUAUUGCACAAUGGGCGGAAGCCUGAUGCAGCAACGCCGCGUGCGGGAUGACGGCCUUCGGGUUGUAAACCGCUUUCGCCUGUGACGAAGCGUGAGUGACGGUAAUGGGUAAAGAAGCACCGGCUAACUACGUG
This 468-nucleotide ribosomal RNA is filed under the name uncultured bacterium. Its description in RNAcentral is "partial 16S ribosomal RNA". It matches the Rfam family "Bacterial small subunit ribosomal RNA", at positions 28 to 507 of the family's 1533-position model. The record is from RNAcentral.